Molecule: ribosomal RNA, 491 nt
Filed under: uncultured bacterium
Lineage: Bacteria
Description: partial 16S ribosomal RNA
Rfam family: Bacterial small subunit ribosomal RNA
Source: RNAcentral
AGUGAACGCUGGCGGUAGGCCUAACACAUGCAAGUCGAACGGCAGCACAGUAAGAGCUUGCUCUUACGGGUGGCGAGUGGCGGACGGGUGAGGAAUACAUCGGAAUCUACUUUUUCGUGGGGGAUAACGUAGGGAAACUUACGCUAAUACCGCAUACGACCUACGGGUGAAAGCAGGGGAUCUUCGGACCUUGCGCGAUUGAAUGAGCCGAUGUCGGAUUAGCUAGUUGGCGGGGUAAAGGCCUACCAAGGCGACGAUCCGUAGCUGGUCUGAGAGGAUGAUCAGCCACACUGGAACUGAGACACGGUCCAGACUCCUACGGGAGGCAGCAGUGGGGAAUAUUGGACAAUGGGCGCAAGCCUGAUCCAGCCAUACCGCGUGGGUGAAGAAGGCCUUCGGGUUGUAAAGCCCUUUUGUUGGGAAAGAAAAGCAGCAGGUUAAUACCCCGCUGUUCUGACGGUACCCAAAGAAUAAGCACCGGCUAACUUCGG